UACGGAGGGUGCAAGCGUUAUCCGGAUUCACUGGGUUUAAAGGGAGCGUAGGUGGGUCUGUAAGUCAGUGGUGAAAUCUUCGAGCUUAACUCGGAAACUGCCAUUGAUACUAUAGAUCUUGAAUUAUCUGGAGGUAAGCGGAAUAUGUCAUGUAGCGGUGAAAUGCUUAGAUAUGACAUAGAACACCAAUUGCGAAGGCAGCUUACUACGGAUAUAUUGACACUGAGGCUCGAAAGCGUGGGGAUCAAACAGG
This 253-nucleotide ribosomal RNA is filed under the name uncultured bacterium. Its description in RNAcentral is "partial 16S ribosomal RNA". It matches the Rfam family "Bacterial small subunit ribosomal RNA", at positions 524 to 776 of the family's 1533-position model. The record is from RNAcentral.